UGGGGAAUUUUGGACAAUGGGGGCAACCCUGAUCCAGCAAUGCCGCGUGAGUGAAGAAGGCCUUCGGGUUGUAAAGCUCUUCUGUCAGGAAAGAAAUCGCCUUGGCCAAUACCUGGGGUGGAUGACGGUACCUGAAGAAUAAGCACCGGCUAACUACGUGCCAGCAGCCGCGGUAAUACGUAGGGUGCAAGCGUUAAUCGGAAUUACUGGGCGUAAAGCGUGCGCAGGCGGUUGUGCAAGACAGAUGUGAAAUCCCCGGGCUUAACCUGGGAACUGCAUUUGUGACUGCACGGCUAGAGUGUGUCAGAGGGGGGUAGAAUUCCACGUGUAGCAGUGAAAUGCGUAGAUAUGUGGAGGAAUACCGAUGGCGAAGGCAGCCCCCUGGGAUAACACUGACGCUCAUGCACGAAAGCGUGGGGAGCAAAC
This 426-nucleotide ribosomal RNA is filed under the name uncultured bacterium. RNAcentral describes it as "bacterial SSU rRNA". It matches the Rfam family "Bacterial small subunit ribosomal RNA", at positions 355 to 773 of the family's 1533-position model. The record is from RNAcentral.